CGCGUGGAACUAAGCAUAUCAAUAAGCGGAGGAAAAGAAACUAACAAGGAUUCCCCUAGUAACUGCGAGUGAAGCGGGAAAAGCUCAAAUUUAAAAUCUGGUGGCCUCUGGCCAUCCGAGUUGUAAUUUAGAGAAGCGUCUUCCGCGCUGGACCGUGCACAAGUCUCCUGGAAUGGAGCGUCAUAGAGGGUGAGAAUCCCGUCUUUGGCACGGACGCACCAGGGCUUCUGUGAUGCGCUCUCGAAGAGUCGAGUUGUUUGGGAAUGCAGCUCAAAAUGGGUGGUGAACUCCAUCUAAAGCUAAAUAUUGGCGAGAGACCGAUAGCGAACAAGUACCGUGAGGGAAAGAUGAAAAGCACUUUGGAAAGAGAGUGAAACAGUACGUGAAAUUGUUGAAAGGGAAACGCUUGAAGUCAGUCGCGUCGUCCGAGACUCAGCCUUGCCUCGGCUCGGUGUACUUCUCGGCCGACGGGUCAGCAUCAAUUUUGCCCCUUGGAUAAUGGCGAGGGAAAUGUGACACCUUUGCGGGUGUGUUAUAGUCUCUCGUCGCAUGCAAGGGUCGGGAUUGAGGAACUCAGCACGCGCCCUCGGGCGUCGGCGCUUUGCGCACGAUGCGUGCUUAGGAUGCUGGCGUAAUGGCUUUAAACGACCCGUCUUGAAACACGGACCAAGGAGUCUAACAUGCCCGCGAGUGUUCGGGUGGAAAACCCGUGCGCGCAAUGAAAGUGAAAGUUGGGACCUCCGUCGUGGAGGGCACCGACGCCCGGACCAGACCUUCUGUGACGGAUCUGCGGUGGAGCGUGUAUGUUAGGACCCGAAAGAUGGUGAACUAUGCCUGAAUAGGGUGAAGCCAGAGGAAACUCUGGUGGAGGCUCGUAGCGAUUCUGACGUGCAAAUCGAUCGUCAAAUUUGGGUAUAGGGGCGAAAGACUAAUCGAACCAUCUAGUAGCUGGUUCCUGCCGAGUUUCCCUCUCGGAAA
RNAcentral lists this ribosomal RNA (978 nucleotides) under Russula sp. HMAS 276799. Its description in RNAcentral is "eukaryotic LSU rRNA". It matches the Rfam family "Eukaryotic large subunit ribosomal RNA", at positions 26 to 980 of the family's 3401-position model. Lineage: Eukaryota; Fungi; Basidiomycota; Agaricomycetes; Russulales; Russulaceae. The record is from RNAcentral.